This 490-nucleotide ribosomal RNA is filed under the name uncultured bacterium. RNAcentral's name for it is "partial 16S ribosomal RNA". It matches the Rfam family "Bacterial small subunit ribosomal RNA", at positions 30 to 507 of the family's 1533-position model. The record is from RNAcentral.
AUUGAACGCUGGCGGCAGGCCUAACACAUGCCAGUCGAACGGUAACAGGAAGCGGCUUGCUGCUUCGCUGACGAGUGGCGGACGGGUGAGUAAUGUCUGGGAAACUGCCUGAUGGAGGGGGAUAACUACUGGAAACGGUAGCUAAUACCGCAUAACGUCGCAAGACCAAAGAGGGGGACCUUAGGGCCUCUUGCCAUCGGCUGUGCCCAGAUGGGAUUAGCUAGUAGGUGGGGUAACGGCUCACCUAGGCGACGAUCCCUAGCUGGUCUGAGAGGAUGACCGGCCACACUGGAACUGAGACACGGUCCAGACUCCUACGGGAGGCAGCAGUGGGGAAUAUUGCACAAUGGGCGCAAGCCUGAUGCAGCCAUGCCGCGUGUAUGAAGAAGGCCUUCGGGUUGUAAAGUACUUUCAGCGGGGAGGAAGGGAGUAAAGUUAAUACCUUUGCUCAUUGACGUUACCCGCAGAAGAAGCACCGGCUAACUCCGUG